AAUGAACCAAAGCGUCCGUUGCUAUGCUGGUUCCUUGGCUCUAUUUUACCUCGUAUUGGUCGCAAAGGAAGGAGGAUGCAGGCAGUUCUAGUUCUAUUUCACAACAAAAUCGCUCGCUCAGUCCGCGCAAAAUUAUUACCUCAGAAUUUCUCUCCAAGGACGGUGUUUUUAACGAUGACAACCUGCUGACUACCUGCUGCUUCAGAGGACCGAAAAGACUGGAAAGAGAACACUUUCUUUACCGUAUAUUUGUCAUUAUACAAGUACAAAUAGGAAUAAAUCAUUUAAGAUGUUUUUAGAUUGACGUUACUGUAUUUAUAUACCUCAGCCUGCCUAGUCAGCUAGCCAGCUACAGUAACCAGCUGGCUAGCCUGACAGUUUUAUUUAGCUAACGUUAGCUAGCUAGCAAGCAAGCUACUGUAACUGUUAAUUGCAGCUUUCUGUUUGUAUGUAACGUUAGCUUGCACUUUAAUGGCAUCCCUCGAGGAGAUUUUCUUUUAUCUUUCUAACCAGGAGAAGUACUAUGAUGACACCACUGAUCUCGACAAGAGGCGCAACAUUCAGAGAAAUUCACAAUUCAGAGUAACUUUAAACAGUUAACUUCUAUUAGAUAACUGGACGGAUUUAGCUAUGUACAACCAUUUUUCAACAACCAUUUUCAAUCUAACGUUCGCUAAUUACUAACUAUACAUUUAGUUCAGUGGAGCAGAGGCUGCUGAGGAGAGGAUGGCUCAUAAUAUGGAUUAAAUGGAAUGGUAUCAAACGCGUGGUCUCCAUGUGGUUGAUGCCAUACAAUUGACUCCAUUCCAGACAUUAUUAUGAGCUGCCCUCCACUCAGCAGCCUCCACUGAUAUAGUUAUAUGUCUGUCAUAUUGCGGUAUCUAGCUAUAAAUUAAACCUGAUCAAUCAAAUGGAUGGGUGUAAGCAAUUAUGGUAAUUACAACUGUCCUUAACUAGGUGUCUUUGCUAGACAGACACAGGGAGGAUGAAAGUGAGAGACAGACAGACAGACACAGAGCAAACAACAGCAGUGCAAAUGUACUUAGACUUGAGUAUUUCAACAACUCUUCUUCCAACAAAAAUCACAUCUACCUACGGGGAAAGGAUGGCCAGUCACACAAGAGGGUGAUUUUUACUAAGGAGGAGAAGGAGGCCAUGCUGACUGAGAUGCAUGCUGGCCAUUUCAGAGGGAAGCGCAUGAUUGCCAAAAUCAACCUAUGCUUCUUCUGACGAGGAAUUGUCAAGGAUGAGUACAGCUGGGAAAGUGAAAUAACCUUCUGUUUAUUAAUCACAUUCUAUUAUAUAUGAAAUAUUAUGAUUUCAAUGAAUGUCAUAUUAGAGAGCACACAAUGUUUCAAUUGGUCACUUUUUGCAUAAAGUUCAGUACCCUGUCUAGCCUGCCAGAAGUUUGAGAGGGUGAAGACUGUGGCGCCGGAGUUGAAGCUAAUCAAAGUUGUUUCACCAUGGCACAUGAUCUGAUGAGACUAACAAGGCCGCCUUCAAGACGAUGGUGGACAUCUUCAACACCUGCCCCCCAGGAGGUAUCCCAUCCACCAGAACCAGUGAGUUCAGGUCAGUCGGUGGGGGACCAGCUUGAGGAACUAGGGGUUCUGCCCAACACCCAGACGUGGAUCCAACUGAUGUCAUCCAUUACCAACCACCCUCCAACUUUUCAUUACUUAAUCUACAUCUACUGUUGUUGUCAUUAUCUGCUAAGAAAGUUUUCUUGCUCUCAUACCAGGCACAUAAUAUGUGAGAUUACUAAAAACACUGCACUGCAAACACUCAAAACAAAGAGAGCAGCAGUGCCUGGACUUUGCAGUCUCUCUCUUUAAGCCCCCCUUCUGAGACUGGCUAUCAAAGUUCAUGUAUUACAAUCUUAAAUAUUGCCAGGUUGGUUUUCACAGCUGUUUCACAAGGUGUUCAUUAUUGUAAGUUAUCUUUUGUUUGUAUUUAUUUGCUCCACAUUAUUCAUUGUUGUAUCCAAGGACCUACAAUAGAUACAUAUAUAUUCAACCACAAGUGUGUACUGAUGAGCUAUGCGAGAUAGGAAAAAAAAAUUCAUAAAAGGACUACUGAAAUUAGAUUACAAUAGAUACAUAUAUAAGACAAGGUGACCGGAAACAUGACCGAAUACAAACAGUGCUAUAUAGCUAUUCCCUCCGCAAGGCAAUUAAACAAGCUAAGCGUCAGCAUAGAGACAAAGUAGAGUCGCAAUUCAACGGCUUAGACACGAGAGGUAUGCGGCAUGGUCUAUAGUCAAUCAUGGACUACAAAAAGAAAACCAACCCCGUCGCGGACCACGAUGUCUUGCUCCCAGACAAACGAAACAACUUCUUUCCUCGCUUUGAGGACAAUACAGUGCCACCUACAUGGCCCGCUACCAAAACCUGCGGGCUCUCCUUCACUGCAGCCAACAUGAGUAAAACAUUUAAACGUGUUAACCCUCGCAAGGCUGCCAUCCCAUACGACAUCACUAGCUGCGUCCUCAGAGCAUGCUCAGACCAGCUGGCUGGUGUGUUUACGGACAUAUUCAGUCAAUCCUUAUCCCAGUCUGCUGUUCCCACAUGCUUCAAGAGGGCCACCAUUGUUCCUGUUCCCAAGAAAGCUAAGGUAACUGAGCUAAAUGAGUAUCGCCCCGUAGUACUCACUUAUGUCAUCAUGAAGUGCUUUGAGAGACUAGUCAAGGACCAUAUCACCUAGACCCUACCUGACACCGCGGAAACCCACUCCAAUUUGCUUACCGCCCCAAUAGGUCCACAGACGAAGCAAUAGCAGUCACACUGCACACUGCCCUAACCCAUCCGGACAAGAGGAAUACCUAUGUAAGAAUGCUGUUCAUCGACUACAGCUCAGCAUUUAACACCAUAGUACCCUCCAAACUCGUCAUCAAGCUCGAGACCCUGGGUCUCGACCCCGCCCUGUGCAACUGGGUCCUGGACUUCCUGACGGGCUGCCCCCAGGUGGUAAGGGUAGGAAACAACAUCUCCACCCCGCUGAUCCUCAACAGUGGGGCCCCACAAGGGUGCGUUCUCAGCCCUCUCCUGUACUCCCUGUUCACCCAUGACUGCAUGGCCAUGCACGCCUCCAACUUAAUCAUCAAGUUUGCCGACAACACUACAAUGGUAGGCUUGAUUACCAACAACGACGAGGCGGCCUACAGGGAGGAGGUGAGGGCCCUCGGAGUGUGGUGUCAGGAAAAUAACUUCACACUCAAUGUCAACAAAACAAAGGAGAUGAUCGUGGACUUCAGGAAACAGCAGAGGGAGCAGCCCCCUAUCCACAUCGACGGGACAGUAGUGGAGAAGGUGGAAAGUUUUAACUUCCUCGGCGUACACAUCGCGGACAAACUGAAUUGGUUCACCCACACAGACAGCGUGAUGAAUAAGGAACAGCAGCGCCUCUUCAACCUCAGGAGGCUGAUGAAAUUUGAGUGUUUUUGGCUUGUCACCAAAACCACUCAUCAAAUACAACAACCACCCGAGCCACUGCCUGUUCACCCCGCUAUCAUCCAGAAGACGAGGUCAGUACAGGUGCAUCAAAGCUGGGACCGAGAGACUGAAAAACAGCUUCUGUCUCAAGGCCAUUAGACUGUUAAACAACCAUCACUAACAUUGAGUGGCUGACUGUUGCCAACAUACUGACUCAAAUCUCUAGCCACUUUAAUAAUAAAAAAUGGGAUAUAAUAAAUGUAUCACUAGCCACUUUAAACAAUGCUACUUUAUAUAAUGUUUACAUACCCUACAUUACUCAUCUCAUAUGUACAUACUUUACUCUACCAUCUACUGCAUCUUGCCUAUGCCGUUCGGCCAUCGCUCAUCCAUAUAUUUUUAUGUACAUAUUCUUAUUCAUUCCUUUACACUUGUGUGUAUAAGGUAAUUGUUGUGAAAUUGUUAGACUACUUGUUACAUAUUACUGUGUGGUUGGAACUAGAAGCACAUGCAUUUCACUACACUCGCAUUAACAUCUGCUAACCAUGUGUAUGUGACAAAUAAAAUUUGAUUUGAGAUUAUUUCAGUGUAGAUAAGGGAAGGGCAGGUUAAACUAAAAACAUGACAGCCAGACAAGCCAGUGUAUGAAUCAAAUGGAUUUGCAUAUGAAUGAGUUAGAAAUUAGCUGACUUCUUGAUCUGUAAAGUAAGUAACUUUAAUGUGUCGAGCAGAUUACACGUUUUCAGUGCCAUUUCCCGAAACGUUUAAGACAUGGAUUUCAUGUAAUGUUAACAAGGUACCCAAAAGUAGUUCCAAUGUUUUCAUUUUACUAGCUAAACAAAACUUGUUUAAACAGCGGAAAUCAGCCUUGUUUGCAUAGCGAUG
This is a long non-coding RNA of Oncorhynchus tshawytscha (Chinook salmon), 4316 nucleotides long. Lineage: Eukaryota; Metazoa; Chordata; Actinopteri; Salmoniformes; Salmonidae. The record is from Ensembl.